RNAcentral lists this long non-coding RNA (606 nucleotides) under Gossypium barbadense (sea-island cotton). RNAcentral describes it as "long non-coding RNA (GBAR_LNC019818)". Lineage: Eukaryota; Viridiplantae; Streptophyta; Magnoliopsida; Malvales; Malvaceae. The record is from RNAcentral.
AAGAAACCAUCCAUGGUUUCUUAAGUUUCGGCACUUUCAUAGCAAAAUUAAGGUAUGCUUUGGUUUCGGUUUUUGAUAAUUUUUACAUUUUUGAGAUCGUUGCUUUGAAUACUACCCGACCCAUGCUUGAAUUUCUGAUUUUAAUGAAUAUUUUGAGUUAUGCCAUUGAUGAAUAUUUGUGUUUUGUGAUGUUUGAUGAUGAAUAAUGGAAGAUAUGUCUUAGAUUAACAUGUUUUGUCUUGGGAUUUUUGAUGAAUUUGAGUAUUUAGGGCUAAAUUGUGAAAAUAAAUUUUUGAGGGACUAAAAUGUGAAAUAAAUGCAAUGUGUGGACUUGUAUGAGAACCAUGAAUAUUCGGCCCUUGUGUGGUAUGGGCAAAUUUUGUGUAUUUUGUGUUUUGUGCAAAAAGGACUAAAUUGCAAAAAGUGUAAAAUGUUAGGGGCAAAAUGGUAAUUUUCUCAUUUAUGUACUUUUGGACUUAAUUGAAUGUUUUGAUGAAUAAAAAGGUUAAAUUUGAUUAUGUUUAGAUCAAGAAACGAAGAAAACGAAUUUGGAUCGGGGAAAAACAAAAGCAAUCGAAUAGUCGAUCGUGUCUGCUGAUAUUCGAG